This 257-nucleotide ribosomal RNA is filed under the name uncultured Stemonitis sp. RNAcentral describes it as "partial 18S ribosomal RNA". It matches the Rfam family "Eukaryotic small subunit ribosomal RNA", at positions 28 to 252 of the family's 1831-position model. The record is from RNAcentral. Lineage: Eukaryota; Evosea; Eumycetozoa; Stemonitida.
AUGCUUCUCCUAAAGACUAAGCCAUGCAUGCUCUGAAUAUGAGGAAGCAAUUCUCUCUGAAUCUGCGAACGGCUCCGCAAACCAGUUGUAAACCAUAGCAGCGUUCCGCCCGGCUUCAGCAAUGGAGCCGGGCAUUAUAUGGAUAACCGUGGUAAUUCUGAGGUCUAAUACAUGACACACCAACCUGCCGGCUGGGGCAACUCGGCUAGGUGGGGGACGUGCAAACUCCCAUUGCUAUAACAAACCACGAAUGAAUG